GAACGCUGGCGGCAGGCCUAACACAUGCAAGUCGAGCGGUAGCACAGAGAGCUUGCUCUCGGGUGACGAGCGGCGGACGGGUGAGUAAUGUCUGGGAAACUGCCUGAUGGAGGGGGAUAACUACUGGAAACGGUAGCUAAUACCGCAUAAUGUCGCAAGACCAAAGUGGGGGACCUUCGGGCCUCAUGCCAUCAGAUGUGCCCAGAUGGGAUUAGCUAGUAGGUGGGGUAACGGCUCACCUAGGCGACGAUCCCUAGCUGGUCUGAGAGGAUGACCAGCCACACUGGAACUGAGACACGGUCCAGACUCCUACGGGAGGCAGCAGUGGGGAAUAUUGCACAAUGGGCGCAAGCCUGAUGCAGCCAUGCCGCGUGUGUGAAGAAGGCCUUCGGGUUGUAAAGCACUUUCAGCGGGGAGGAAGGCGUUAAGGUUAAUAACCUUGGCGAUUGACGUUACCCGCAGAAGAAGCACCGGCUAACUCCGUGCCAGCAGCCGCGGUAAUACGGAGGGUGCAAGCGUUAAUCGGAAUUACUGGGCGUAAAGCGCACGCAGGCGGUCUGUCAAGUCGGAUGUGAAAUCCCCGGGCUCAACCUGGGAACUGCAUUCGAAACUGGCAGGCUAGAGUCUUGUAGAGGGGGGUAGAAUUCCAGGUGUAGCGGUGAAAUGCGUAGAGAUCUGGAGGAAUACCGGUGGCGAAGGCGGCCCCCUGGACAAAGACUGACGCUCAGGUGCGAAAGCGUGGGGAGCAAACAGGAUUAGAUACCCUGGUAGUCCACGCCGUAAACGAUGUCGAUUUGGAGGUUGUGCCCUUGAGGCGUGGCUUCCGGAGCUAACGCGUUAAAUCGACCGCCUGGGGAGUACGGCCGCAAGGUUAAAACUCAAAUGAAUUGACGGGGGCCCGCACAAGCGGUGGAGCAUGUGGUUUAAUUCGAUGCAACGCGAAGAACCUUACCUGGUCUUGACAUCCACAGAACUUUCCAGAGAUGGAUUGGUGCCUUCGGGAACUGUGAGACAGGUGCUGCAUGGCUGUCGUCAGCUCGUGUUGUGAAAUGUUGGGUUAAGUCCCGCAACGAGCGCAACCCUUAUCCUUUGUUGCCAGCGGUUCGGCCGGGAACUCAAAGGAGACUGCCAGUGAUAAACUGGAGGAAGGUGGGGAUGACGUCAAGUCAUCAUGGCCCUUACGACCAGGGCUACACACGUGCUACAAUGGCAUAUACAAAGAGAAGCGACCUCGCGAGAGCAAGCGGACCUCAUAAAGUAUGUCGUAGUCCGGAUUGGAGUCUGCAACUCGACUCCAUGAAGUCGGAAUCGCUAGUAAUCGUAGAUCAGAAUGCUACGGUGAAUACGUUCCCGGGCCUUGUACACACCGCCCGUCACACCAUGGGAGUGGGUUGCAAAAGAAGUAGGUAGCUUAACCUUCGGGAGGGCGCUUACCACUUUGUGAUUCAUGACUGGGGUGAAG
This 1462-nucleotide ribosomal RNA is filed under the name uncultured organism. RNAcentral describes it as "SSU rRNA". It matches the Rfam family "Bacterial small subunit ribosomal RNA". The record is from RNAcentral.